UCACUAGUAGAUGGACCUGCGUUGUAUUAGCUAGUUGGUGGGGUAACGGCCUACCAAGGCGACGAUACAUAGCCGACCUGAGAGGGUGAUCGGCCACACUGGGACUGAGACACGGCCCAGACUCCUACGGGAGGCAGCAGUAGGGAAUCUUCGGCAAUGGGGGCAACCCUGACCGAGCAACGCCGCGUGAGUGAAGAAGGUUUUCGGAUCGUAAAGCUCUGUUGUAAGAGAAGAACGUGUGUGAGAGUGGAAAGUUCACACAGUGACGGUAACUUACCAGAAAGGGACGGCUAAUUACGUGCCAGCAGCCGCGGUAAUACGUAGGUCCCGAGCGUUGUCCGGAUUUAUUGGGCGUAAAGCGAGCGCAGGCGGUUUAAUAAGUCUGAAGUUAAAGGCAGUGGCUUAACCAUUGUUCGCUUUGGAAACUGUUAAACUUGAGUGCAGAAGGGGAGAGUGGAAUUCCAUGUGUAGCGGUGAAAUGCGUAGAUAU
This 490-nucleotide ribosomal RNA is filed under the name uncultured bacterium. RNAcentral describes it as "bacterial SSU rRNA". It matches the Rfam family "Bacterial small subunit ribosomal RNA", at positions 215 to 697 of the family's 1533-position model. The record is from RNAcentral.